Molecule: ribosomal RNA, 433 nt
Filed under: uncultured bacterium
Lineage: Bacteria
Description: partial 16S ribosomal RNA
Rfam family: Bacterial small subunit ribosomal RNA
Source: RNAcentral
AACGAACGCUGGCGGCAUGCCUAACACAUGCAAGUCGAACGAGACCUUCGGGUCUAGUGGCGCACGGGUGCGUAACGCGUGGGAACCUGCCCUUAGGUUCGGAAUAACUCAGCGAAAUUUGUGCUAAUACCGGAUGAUGUCUUCGGACCAAAGAUUUCUCGCCUUUGGAUGGGCCCGCGUUGGAUUAGCUAGUUGGUGGGGUAAAGGCCUACCAAGGCGACGAUCCAUAGCUGGUCUGAGAGGAUGAUUAGCCACACUGGGACUGAGACACGGCCCAGAAUCCUACGGGAGGCAGCAGUGGGGAAUAUUGGACAAUGGGCGAAAGCCUGAUACAGCAAUGCCGCGUGAGUGAUGAAGGCCUUAGGGUUGUAAAGCUCUUUUACCCGAGAUGAUAAUGACAGUACCGGGAGAAUAAGCUCCGGCUAACUCCGUG